This 342-nucleotide unclassified non-coding RNA is filed under the name soil metagenome. RNAcentral's name for it is "partial contains 5.8S ribosomal RNA, internal transcribed spacer 2, and large subunit ribosomal RNA". The stretch from base 1 to 120 matches the Rfam family "5.8S ribosomal RNA", at positions 35 to 154 of the family's 154-position model. The record is from RNAcentral.
GAUGAAGAACGUAGCGAAAUGCGAUAAGUAGUGUGAAUUGCAGAAUUCAGUGAAUCAUCGAAUCUUUGAACGCACAUUGCGCCUCCUGGUAUUCCGGGAGGCAUGCCUGUUCGAGCGUCAUCAAAAACCUCAACCCAUGAUUUAUUGUGAGUUGGUUCUGCAUUGGACUCCUUGUGGGUCCUUUGCGAAAUCCAAUGGCGAAGAGCCACGCAACCAAAGCGUAGUAUAACUAUCUCGUUAUGGAAGCGUGGGUGCCUCUGCCGUAACCCCCAAUUUCUUAGUUUUUGACCUCGGAUCAGGUAGGGAUACCCGCUGAACUUAAGCAUAUCAAUAAGCGGAGGA